UACAGAGGGUGCAAGCGUUGUUCGGAAUUACUGGGCGUAAAGCGCGUGUAGGCUGCAAUGUAAGUCGAACGUGAAAGCCCUCAGCUUAACUGAGGAAGUGCGUUUGAUACUGCAUCGCUUGAGUGUCGGAGGGGAUGGCGGAAUUCCCGGUGUAGAGGUGAAAUUCGUGAGAUAUCGGGAGGAACACCUGUGGCGAAGGCGGCCAUCUGGACGACGACUGACGCUGAGACGCGAAAAGCGUGGGUAGCAAACAGG
Molecule: ribosomal RNA, 255 nt
Filed under: uncultured bacterium
Lineage: Bacteria
Description: partial 16S ribosomal RNA
Rfam family: Bacterial small subunit ribosomal RNA
Source: RNAcentral